Molecule: ribosomal RNA, 353 nt
Filed under: uncultured bacterium
Lineage: Bacteria
Description: bacterial SSU rRNA
Rfam family: Bacterial small subunit ribosomal RNA
Source: RNAcentral
GAUGAACGCUGGCGGUGUGCCUAAUACAUGCAAGUCGAACGAGAUCUUCGGAUCUAGUGGCGGACGGGUGAGUAACACGUUGGUACCUACCCCUAAGUGGGGAGUAACUGCCCGAAACGGGUGGCUAAUACCGCAUAAUCCCGCAAGGGUAAAGCAGUAAUGCGCUUAGGGAGGGGCCGUGCGUCUGAUUAGCUAGUUGGUGAGGUAAUUGCUCACCAAGGCGACGAUCAGUAGCUGGAUCGAGAGGUUGACCAGCCACACUGGGACUGAGAUACGGCCCAGACUCCUACGGGAGGCAGCAGUAAGGAAUCUUCCACAAUGGACGAAAGUCUGAUGGAGCAACACCGCGUGCA